GAUGAACGCUGGCGGCGUGCCUAAUACAUGCAAGUCGAGCGAACAGACGAGGAGCUUGCUCCUCUGACGUUAGCGGCGGACGGGUGAGUAACACGUGGAUAACCUACCUAUAAGACUGGGAUAACUUCGGGAAACCGGAGCUAAUACCGGAUAAUAUAUUGAACCGCAUGGUUCAAUAGUGAAAGACGGUUUUGCUGUCACUUAUAGAUGGAUCCGCGCCGCAUUAGCUAGUUGGUAAGGUAACGGCUUACCAAGGCAACGAUGCGUAGCCGACCUGAGAGGGGGAUCGGCCACAAUGGAACUGAGACACGGUCCAGACUCCUACGGGAGGCAGCAGUAGGGAAUCUUCCGCAAAGGGCGAAAGCCUGACGGAGCAACGCCGCGUGAGUGAUGAAGGUCUUCGGAUCGUAAAACUCUGUUAUUAGGGAAGAACAAAUGUGUAAGUAACUAUGCACGUCUUGACGGUACCUAAUCAGAAAGCCACGGCUAACUACGUG
Molecule: ribosomal RNA, 497 nt
Filed under: uncultured bacterium
Lineage: Bacteria
Description: partial 16S ribosomal RNA
Rfam family: Bacterial small subunit ribosomal RNA
Source: RNAcentral